Long non-coding RNA from Caretta caretta (loggerhead turtle), 500 nucleotides. RefSeq lists it as uncharacterized. Lineage: Eukaryota; Metazoa; Chordata; Testudines; Cheloniidae. The record is from RefSeq and is a predicted model, not a curated record.
UCUGCCAAAAAAUAAAAACAGUGGGAUGAUUAAGGUGCAUCACCCUAGGUUAUAAACACCUCCAGAGAGGUACCGCCUCCUAAGGAGGCAUGCAUAUACUGUUUCAAUUUUUUUCCCCCAGAAACAGGCAAAAAGGGCUUUUGAUUUUAAAAGGCUAGGUUUAAACUGACUCAGGUCCUUCUUUCUGAACCAGCAAGCAGACAGGGUUCCACAAGACUGAUGGAUGACUCCAGCCAUUAGGAGGAAUCCCCAAGCAAUCACCUGAGCUGGAACAAGGGCUGUACCGGGGGAAAGGAUUGUGCCCAGACUAGGAAGGUGUCCAGCUCCAGUCUGUGAAAGAAACAUAUUGAAACAUCUCUAAGGAGAUGAACUUAAGAUUUGAAGAUUGCCAUGCUGCUAAGCUACAACAGGAAACCAGGAUGGGAUCUACUACUACUUCUCGGAAUUCACUUACUCCUGAGGACAUUCUGCGCCAAAAAAUAAAAAUUCGGUGCACAAUA